GUGCCAGCAGCCGCGGUAAUUCCAUGUCUCCAAUAGCGUAUAUUAAAGUUGUUGUGGUUAAAAAGCUCGUAGUUGAACCUUGGGCCUGGCUGGCCGGUCCGCCUCACCGCGUGCACUGGUCCGGCCGGGCCUUUCCCUCUGUGGAACCCCAUACCCUUCACUGGGCGUGGCGGGGAAACAGGACAUUUACUUUGAAAAAAUUAGAGUGCUCCAGGCAGGCCUAUGCUCGAAUACAUUAGCAUGGAAUAAUAAAAUAGGACGCGCGGUUCUAUUUUGUUGGUUUAUAGGACCGCCGUAAUGAUUAAUAGGGACAGUCGGGGGCAUCAGUAUUCAACUGUCAGAGGUGAAAUUCUUGGAUCAGUUGAAGACUAACUACUGCGAAAGCAUUUGCCAAGGAUGUUUUCAUUAAUCAGGAACGAAAGUUAGGGGAUCGAAGACGAUCAGAUACCGUCGUAGUCUUAACCAUAAACUAUGCCGACUAGGGAUCGGACGGUGUUAUUCAUGACCCGUUCGGCACCUUACGAGAAAUCAAAGUGCUUGGGCUCCAGGGGGAGUAUGGUCGCAAGGCUGAAACUUAAAGAAAUUGACGGAAGGGCACCACCAGGGGUGGAGCCUGCGGCUUAAUUUGACUCAACACGGGGAAACUCACCAGGUCCAGACACAAUAAGGAUUGACAGAUUGAGAGCUCUUUCUUGAUUUUGUGGGUGGUGAUGCAUGACCGUUCUUAGUUGGUGGGGUGACUUGUCUGCUUAAUUGCGAUAACGAACGAGACCUUAACCUGCUAAAUAGCCCGCAUCGCUCCGGCAGUGCGCUGGCUUCUUAGAGGGACUUCGGCUCAAGCGAGGAGUUUGAGCAUAACAGGUCUGUGAUGCCUAGAUGUUCUGGCCGCACGGCGCGCUAACUGACGGGGUCAGCGAG
This 918-nucleotide ribosomal RNA is filed under the name uncultured fungus. RNAcentral describes it as "SSU rRNA". It matches the Rfam family "Eukaryotic small subunit ribosomal RNA", at positions 564 to 1519 of the family's 1831-position model. Lineage: Eukaryota; Fungi. The record is from RNAcentral.